AUGGUGUCAGACCUCAUUGACACGGAUAACUGGUCCUGGCGACAGGAGCUAGUUAGGUCAAACUUCAUUGCCCCAGAUGCGGAUGCGAUCCUCAACAUACCAAUCAGGCGUGGAGGUGGUGAUGAUUUCUUUGCUUGGGCCUUUGAGACUUCAGGUAACUACACAGUUAAAUCGGCGUACCUUGCUCUAAUGACUCAGAACGAGCGUCUUGCUCUAGGAGAAGGGACGGAUACCAGAGCUUCAAGAGAUGAAUCACUACUGUGGAGUGCUCUGUGGAAACUCAAAGUUAUCCCAAAGGUGCGUGUGUUUUGGUGGCGUGUACUUCGACGGAUACUGCCUGAUGAGUGCACACUCAAACACCGCCAUAUUGCAGUCAUCGACAGAUGCAAUGUUUGCUUGGCCAAGGAGGAAGAUCUCAUGCAUGCACUUAUUCAUUGCACACAUGCACAGCGCUUCUGGAAUGAAGCGUUUGCUUGGUUUGGCAUCAGAUUACCUCCACUUCACCCGGACUCUUGGUCUCGGGAUAUCUUAUGUGAUACUCGGUUUUCUGAGGAUGAUCGACCAAAAAUCAUCACCAUCAUGUGGACGAUCUGGCACUCUCGCAACCGAGUUAAACAUGGAGAAGAAGGUAGGGGCCCGACAGCAGCUCUCCGAGCCACUAAGGAAGCCCUAGCCCUACUUGAGAUGCCACGCAACACACCGAUUGUUCUUCCUGGACAUGGGUGGAGACCACCAGAACAAGGCGUGAUCAAGCUCACAACUGAUGGGGCAUUGAAUUUUGCAGAUGGAAGGGGGGUGCAGGUGGUGUAG
RNAcentral lists this ribosomal RNA (810 nucleotides) under Triticum aestivum (bread wheat). RNAcentral describes it as "partial small subunit ribosomal RNA". The record is from RNAcentral. Lineage: Eukaryota; Viridiplantae; Streptophyta; Magnoliopsida; Poales; Poaceae.